RNAcentral lists this ribosomal RNA (497 nucleotides) under uncultured bacterium. Its description in RNAcentral is "partial 16S ribosomal RNA". It matches the Rfam family "Bacterial small subunit ribosomal RNA", at positions 28 to 507 of the family's 1533-position model. The record is from RNAcentral.
GAUGAACGCUGGCGGCGUGCCUAAUACAUGCAAGUCGAGCGAAGAGACGAGGAUCGUUCUCCUCUUACGUUAGCGGCGGACGGGCGAUUAACACGUGGAUAACCUACCUAUAAGACUUGGAUAAGUUCGGGAAACCGGAGCUAAGACCGGGUAAUAUAUUGAACCGGAUGGUUCAAUAGUGAAGUACGGUUUUGCUGUUACUUAUAGAUGGAUCCUCGCCGCAUGAGCUAGUUGUUAAGGUAACGGGUGACCAAGGCAACGAUGCGUAUCCGAACUGAGAGGCUGAUCGCCCACCUUGGAACUGGGCCACGGUCACGACUCCUACGGGAGGGAGCAGAAGGCAAUCUUCGGCAACGGGCGGAAGUAUGACGGAGCAACGCCGAGCGAGUGAUGAAGGUCUUCCGAUCGUGAAAACGUGUUAUUAGGGAAGAACAACUGUGUACGGAAAUAUACACGUAUUGACGGUACCUAAUCAGAAAGCCACGGCUAACUACGUG